CACAUUGCUUUGCGGAGAAGAGUAACCGAAGCGCAGAUCGACAGCGAGCCUGGACAGUGUGAGCAGGUGAUCGGCUAAUCGGUGAAGAUGAGCUCCAAAUAGCUUUUCAGUGGUUCACGCCAUUGAAACGGGUGCACCCGUUAUGAUGCCAGGUAUCAGUUUUGGUACUGUUGAGGUGUUAAUGUUAAAUUAACACGAAUAAGGGUGGUAACGCGCACCGUCGCCCCUUGA
This 231-nucleotide non-coding RNA is filed under the name Lacticaseibacillus rhamnosus. The record is from RNAcentral. Lineage: Bacteria; Bacillati; Bacillota; Bacilli; Lactobacillales; Lactobacillaceae.